RNAcentral lists this long non-coding RNA (102 nucleotides) under Mus spretus (western wild mouse). Its description in RNAcentral is "lncRNA (ENSMSPG00010005089.1)". The record is from RNAcentral. Lineage: Eukaryota; Metazoa; Chordata; Mammalia; Rodentia; Muridae.
GGGAGCGUGACACUGCGUGGCGCUCCUCCUCGCCCCCGGAACCGUGGAAGGCGUGGGCCGAAAUGCUUCUCCUCCCGCCAGGUCCCGAAGCUCCGCGGCUGA